ACGGGUGAGUAACACGUGGAUAACCUACCUAUAAGACUGGGAUAACUUCGGGAAACCGGAGCUAAUACCGGAUAAUAUAUUGAACCGCAUGGUUCAAUAGUGAAAGACGGUUUUGCUGUCACUUAUAGAUGGAUCCGCGCCGCAUUAGCUAGUUGGUAAGGUAACGGCUUACCAAGGCAACGAUGCGUAGCCGACCUGAGAGGGUGAUCGGCCACACUGGAACUGAGACACGGUCCAGACUCCUACGGGAGGCAGCAGUAGGGAAUCUUCCGCAAUGGGCGAAAGCCUGACGGAGCAACGCCGCGUGAGUGAUGAAGGUCUUCGGAUCGUAAAACUCUGUUAUUAGGGAAGAACAAAUGUGUAAGUAACUAUGCACGUCUUGACGGUACCUAAUCAGAAAGCCACGGCUAACUACGUGCCAGCAGCCGCGGUAAUACGUAGGUGGCAAGCGUUAUCCGGAAUUAUUGGGCGUAAAGCGCGCGUAGGCGGUUUUUUAAGUCUGAUGUGAAAGCCCACGGCUCAACCGUGGAGGGUCAUUGGAAACUGGAAAACUUGAGUGCAGAAGAGGAAAGUGGAAUUCC
Molecule: ribosomal RNA, 581 nt
Filed under: uncultured bacterium
Lineage: Bacteria
Description: bacterial SSU rRNA
Rfam family: Bacterial small subunit ribosomal RNA
Source: RNAcentral